UACAGAGGGUGCAAGCGUUAAUCGGAAUUACUGGGCGUAAAGCGUGCGUAGACGGUAGCGUAAGUCGGGUGUGAAAGCCCCGGGCUCAACCUGGGAAUUGCAUUCGAGACUGCUCUGCUAGGGUGCGGAAGAGGGAAGCGGAAUUUCCGGUGUAGCGGUGAAAUGCGUAGAUAUCGGAAGGAACACCAGUGGCGAAAGCGGCUUCCUGGUCCAGCACCGACGUUCAGGCACGAGAGCGUGGGGAGCAAACAGG
Molecule: ribosomal RNA, 253 nt
Filed under: uncultured bacterium
Lineage: Bacteria
Description: partial 16S ribosomal RNA
Rfam family: Bacterial small subunit ribosomal RNA
Source: RNAcentral